RNAcentral lists this ribosomal RNA (258 nucleotides) under uncultured bacterium. RNAcentral describes it as "partial 16S ribosomal RNA". It matches the Rfam family "Bacterial small subunit ribosomal RNA", at positions 524 to 778 of the family's 1533-position model. The record is from RNAcentral.
UACGUAGGUGGCAAGCGUUGUCCGGAAUUAUUGGGCGUAAAGCGCGCGCAGGCGGCUUCUUAAGUCUGAUGUGAAAUCUCGGGGCUCAACCCCGAGCGGCCCAUUGGAAACUGGGAAGCUUGAGUACAGAAGAGGAGAGGUGGAAUUCCACGUGUAGCGGUGAAAUGCGUAGAUAUGUGGAGGAACACCAGUGGCGGAAGGCGACUCUCUGGUCUGUAACUGGACGCUGAGGCGCGAAAGCGUGGGAGCAAACAGGAU